RNAcentral lists this unclassified non-coding RNA (146 nucleotides) under Monilinia fructicola. RNAcentral's name for it is "ITS1". The record is from RNAcentral. Lineage: Eukaryota; Fungi; Ascomycota; Leotiomycetes; Helotiales; Sclerotiniaceae.
CAGAGUUCACGCCCGAGAGGGUAGACCUCCCACCCUUGCGUAUCAUUACUUUGUUGCUUUGGCGCGCCGCCCCCGGGCCUCGCGCGCGCGCCAGAGGAUAACCAAACUCUUUAUAUCAACGUCGUCUGAGCACUAUAUAAUAGUUA